UCUUAGCUUGCUAAGACUGAUGGCGACCGGCGCACGGGUGCGUAACGCGUAUGCAACUUGCCUCACAGAGGGGGAUAACCCGUCGAAAGACGGACUAAUACCGCGUACACUCUAUGUUGGGCAUCCAAUGUAGAGGAAAUGAAAUUCGCUGUGAGAUAGGCAUGCGUCCCAUUAGCUAGUUGGUGAGGUAACGGCUCACCAAGGCGACGAUGGGUAGGGGAACUGAGAGGUUGAACCCCCACACUGGUACUGAGACACGGACCAGACUCCUACGGGAGGCAGCAGUGAGGAAUAUUGGUCAAUGGGCGAGAGCCUGAACCAGCCAAGUCGCGUGAAGGAUGACUGUCUUAUGGAUUGUAAACUUCUUUUAUACGGGAAUAACAAGAGUCACGUGUGGCUCCCUGCAUGUACCGUAUGAAUAAGCAUCGGCUAACUCCGUGCCAGCAGCCGCGGUAAUACGGAGGAUGCGAGCGUUGUCCGGAUUUAUUGGGUUUAAAGGGUGCGUAGGCGGCCUGUUAAGUCAGCGGUGAAAUCUAGGAGCUUAACUCCUAAAUUGCCAUUGAUACUGGCGGGCUUGAGUGUAGAUGAGGUAGGCGGAAUGCGUGGUGUAGCGGUGGAAUGCAUAGAUAUCACGCAGAACUCCGAUUGCGAAGGCAGCUUACUAAGGUACAACUGACGCUGAAGCACGAAAGCGUGGGUAUCAAACAGGAUUAGAUACCCUGGUAGUCCACGCAGUAAACGAUGAUAACUGGGCGUAUGCGAUAUACAGU
This 770-nucleotide ribosomal RNA is filed under the name uncultured Porphyromonadaceae bacterium. RNAcentral's name for it is "bacterial SSU rRNA". It matches the Rfam family "Bacterial small subunit ribosomal RNA", at positions 73 to 837 of the family's 1533-position model. The record is from RNAcentral. Lineage: Bacteria; Pseudomonadati; Bacteroidota; Bacteroidia; Bacteroidales; Porphyromonadaceae.